GGUGGAGCGAUUUGUCUGGUUAAUUCCGAUAACGAACGAGACUCUAGCCUGCUAAAUAGUUCGCCGAUUGUCUAAUCUGUCGGCGUUAACUUCUUAGAGGGACAAGUGGUGUUUAGCCACACUAGAUUGAGCGAUAACAGGUCUGUGAUGCCCUUAGAUGUCCGGGGCUGCACGCGUGCUACACUGGAAGAAUCAGCGUGUUUUUCCAUUGCCGAAAGGUAUUGGUAAACCGUUGAAACUCUUCCGCGACCGGGAUAGGGAAUUGAAAUUAUUUCCCUUAAACGAGGAAUUCCUAGCAAGUGUGAGUCAUCAGCUCACGUUGAUUACGUCCCUGCCCUUUGUAC
Molecule: ribosomal RNA, 344 nt
Filed under: Nematoda environmental sample
Lineage: Eukaryota; Metazoa; Nematoda
Description: bacterial SSU rRNA
Rfam family: Eukaryotic small subunit ribosomal RNA
Source: RNAcentral